UUUGGUUAAGUUAGAAAGGGCGCACGGUGGAUGCCUUGACACUAGGAGUCGAUGAAGGACGGGACUAACGCCGAUAUGCUUCGGGGAGCUGUAAGUAAGCUUUGAUCCGAAGAUUUCCGAAUGGGGAAACCCACCAUACGUAAUGGUAUGGUAUCCUUAUCUGAAUACAUAGGGUAAGGAAGACAGACCCAGGGAACUGAAACAUCUAAGUACCUGGAGGAAGAGAAAGCAAAUGCGAUUUCCUGAGUAGCGGCGAGCGAAACGGAACAUAGCCCAAACCAAGAGGCUUGCCUCUUGGGGUUGUAGGACAUUCUAUACGGAGUUACAAAGGAACGAGGUAGACGAAGCGACCUGGAAAGGUCCGUCGUAGAGGGUAACAACCCCGUAGUCGAAACUUCGUUCUCUCUUGAAUGUAUCCUGAGUACGGCGGAACACGUGAAAUUCCGUCGGAAUCUGGGAGGACCAUCUCCCAAGGCUAAAUACUCCCUAGUGAUCGAUAGUGAACCAGUACCGUGAGGGAAAGGUGAAAAGCACCCCGGAAGGGGAGUGAAAGAGAUCCUGAAACCGUGUGCCUACAAAUAGUCAGAGCCCGUUAACGGGUGAUGGCGUGCCUUUUGUAGAAUGAACCGGCGAGUUACGAUCCCGUGCGAGGUUAAGCUGAAGAGGCGGAGCCGCAGCGAAAGCGAGUCUGAAUAGGGCGUUUAGUACGUGGUCGUAGACCCGAAACCAGGUGAUCUACCCAUGUCCAGGGUGAAGUUCAGGUAACACUGAAUGGAGGCCCGAACCCACGCACGUUGAAAAGUGCGGGGAUGAGGUGUGGGUAGCGGAGAAAUUCCAAUCGAACCUGGAGAUAGCUGGUUCUCCCCGAAAUAGCUUUAGGGCUAGCCUUAAGUGUAAGAGUCUUGGAGGUAGAGCACUGAUUGGACUAGGGGUCCUCAUCGGAUUACCGAAUUCAGUCAAACUCCGAAUGCCAAUGACUUAUCCUUAGGAGUCAGACUGCGAGUGAUAAGAUCCGUAGUCAAAGGGAAACAGCCCAGACCGCCAGCUAAGGUCCCAAAGUGUGUAUUAAGUGGAAAAGGAUGUGGAGUUGCUUAGACAACUAGGAUGUUGGCUUAGAAGCAGCCACCAUUUAAAGAGUGCGUAAUAGCUCACUAGUCGAGUGACUCUGCGCCGAAAAUGUACCGGGGCUAAAUACACCACCGAAGCUGCGGAUUGAUACCAAUGGUAUCAGUGGUAGGGGAGCGUUCUAAGGACAGUGAAGUCAGACCGGAAGGACUGGUGGAGUGCUUAGAAGUGAGAAUGCCGGUAUGAGUAGCGAAAGACGGGUGAGAAUCCCGUCCACCGAAUGCCUAAGGUUUCCUGAGGAAGGCUCGUCCGCUCAGGGUUAGUCAGGACCUAAGCCGAGGCCGACAGGCGUAGGCGAUGGACAACAGGUUGAUAUUCCUGUACCACCUCUUUAUCGUUUGAGCAAUGGAGGGACGCAGAAGGAUAGAAGAAGCGUGCGAUUGGUUGUGCACGUCCAAGCAGUUAGGCUGAUAAGUAGGCAAAUCCGCUUAUCGUAAAGGCUGAGCUGUGAUGGGGAAGCUCCUUAUGGAGCGAAGUCUUUGAUUCCCCGCUGCCAAGAAAAGCUUCUAGCGAGAUAAAAGGUGCCUGUACCGCAAACCGACACAGGUAGGCGAGGAGAGAAUCCUAAGGUGUGCGAGAGAACUCUGGUUAAGGAACUCGGCAAAAUGACCCCGUAACUUCGGGAGAAGGGGUGCUUUCUUAACGGAAAGCCGCAGUGAAUAGGCCCAAGCGACUGUUUAGCAAAAACACAGCUCUCUGCGAAGCCGUAAGGCGAAGUAUAGGGGGUGACACCUGCCCGGUGCUGGAAGGUUAAGGAGAGGGGUUAGCGUAAGCGAAGCUCUGAACUGAAGCCCCAGUAAACGGCGGCCGUAACUAUAACGGUCCUAAGGUAGCGAAAUUCCUUGUCGGGUAAGUUCCGACCCGCACGAAAGGUGUAACGAUUUGGGCACUGUCUCAACCAGAGACUCGGUGAAAUUAUAGUACCUGUGAAGAUGCAGGUUACCCGCGACAGGACGGAAAGACCCCGUGGAGCUUUACUGUAGCCUGAUAUUGAAUUUUGGUACAGUUUGUACAGGAUAGGCGGGAGCCAUUGAAACCGGAGCGCUAGCUUCGGUGGAGGCGCUGGUGGGAUACCGCCCUGACUGUAUUGAAAUUCUAACCUACGGGUCUUAUCGACCCGGGAGACAGUGUCAGGUGGGCAGUUUGACUGGGGCGGUCGCCUCCUAAAGUGUAACGGAGGCGCCCAAAGGUUCCCUCAGAAUGGUUGGAAAUCAUUCGUAGAGUGCAAAGGCAUAAGGGAGCUUGACUGCGAGACCUACAAGUCGAGCAGGGACGAAAGUCGGGCUUAGUGAUCCGGUGGUUCCGCAUGGAAGGGCCAUCGCUCAACGGAUAAAAGCUACCCCGGGGAUAACAGGCUUAUCUCCCCCAAGAGUCCACAUCGACGGGGAGGUUUGGCACCUCGAUGUCGGCUCAUCGCAUCCUGGGGCUGUAGUCGGUCCCAAGGGUUGGGCUGUUCGCCCAUUAAAGCGGUACGCGAGCUGGGUUCAGAACGUCGUGAGACAGUUCGGUCCCUAUCCGUCGUGGGCGUAGGAAAUUUGAGAGGAGCUGUCCUUAGUACGAGAGGACCGGGAUGGACGCACCGCUGGUGUACCAGUUGUUCUGCCAAGGGCAUAGCUGGGUAGCUAUGUGCGGAAGGGAUAAGUGCUGAAAGCAUCUAAGCAUGAAGCCCCCCUCAAGAUGAGAUUUCCCAUAGCGUAAGCUAGUAAGAUCCCUGAAAGAUGAUCAGGUUGAUAGGUUCGAGGUGGAAGCAUGGUGACAUGUGGAGCUGACGAAUACUAAUAGAUCGAGGACUUAACCAUAUAA
RNAcentral lists this ribosomal RNA (2928 nucleotides) under Bacillus thuringiensis. RNAcentral's name for it is "23S ribosomal RNA". It matches the Rfam family "Bacterial large subunit ribosomal RNA". The record is from RNAcentral. Lineage: Bacteria; Bacillati; Bacillota; Bacilli; Caryophanales; Bacillaceae.